GACGAACGCUGGCGGCGUGCUUAACACAUGCAAGUCGAGCGAGGCCCCUCCUUCGGGAGGGUGUCCUAGCGGCGAACGGGUGGGUAACACGUGGGCAACCUGCCCUCAGCUCUGGGAUAACUCCGGGAAACCGGGGCUAAUACCGGAUACGACCUCCACGGGCAUCUGCGGAGGUGGAAAGUUUUUCGGCUGAGGAUGGGCCCGCGGCCUAUCAGCUAGUUGGUGGGGUAGUGGCCCACCAAGGCGACGACGGGUAGCCGGCCUGAGAGGGCGACCGGCCACACUGGGACUGAGACACGGCCCAGACUCCUACGGGAGGCAGCAGUGGGGAAUAUUGCGCAAUGGGCGAAAGCCUGACGCAGCGACGCCGCGUGAGGGACGAAGGCCUUCGGGUUGUAAACCUCUUUCAGCAGGGACGAAGCGAAAGUGACGGUACCUGCAGAAGAAGCACCGGCCAACUACGUG
This 465-nucleotide ribosomal RNA is filed under the name uncultured bacterium. RNAcentral describes it as "partial 16S ribosomal RNA". It matches the Rfam family "Bacterial small subunit ribosomal RNA", at positions 28 to 507 of the family's 1533-position model. The record is from RNAcentral.